CGUGCUCGUGGGUCCAUGGCCGUGUGAAAAGCUGCGUUGAGCGCAUUAAUUCGUUAGGGUACAACCAGACAGGACGCACUUUCUCUCCGAGCUGAGCUGCCGCGAAAGUCUGCCUUGCGUUAUCGUGUGUGUACCGUUCGAACCAACUGUUUUUGUGCAAAAGAUAAGCCAGAAGCCAGAAUCAGCUAGGAAGAGUACCCCCCAACAAAAAAAAAACAGCAAAGACAGAAAGACAGAACUAUUGCUUAGAAUAAAGUUUAUAACUUUUACAACGCUCCAGCAUCCUGAGUCCUGAAUCCAGAGUCCUGAGUCCAGAACAAAACUCCAGUUUUACUCUCUGGCCAUUCUUCCGCGCGUACCAGUGUGUGUGUCUGUGUGUGUAAGUGUCCGCGUCUCUCUGCGUGUGUGUGUCCGUGUCCGUGUGCGUAUCCCAAAACUCCAGCUACAGCUCCAGCUCCAGCAAAAAAAGUGUGUGUUCAUCAAUAAAAAUAUAAGCAAGAAACAUCUGAAAUCUAACUAAAAUUCAAUUAAAUAAUAACCGCUUAAAAACCAAGAACCAAGAAACACAGAGGAGGCAAAAGAGGAGCCACACAAACAAACAAAACAAAGCAAAACAAAACAAAGCAAACCAAAACAAAUAAAAAAGAGCAAUUAAAUCUUUCCAUUAAUUAUGGAACAUUCAUCAACAUUUUUGUUGUGUUUGUUCCAUCUUCAAAACGAAAAGGUCGCCGACUGUUUCCAGCUGCUGUCAUCAGAGGCGCAACGCCGACUGGGAAAGUCUACAACUAAAUAUACAACAAAUUCCACCAGAAGACCAACAGCUACAAGCAAAGCGAGCCACAAGAUACAGCAUCCACGACAGCAGCAACCUCAGCUUCAACUCUACAACAAAAUUGCUGGCUAAAAAUUAAAAAAAAAAAAACGAACGAAACAACGAUACUAAACUGAACUCAAGAAGGAUUUAAAAAG
RNAcentral lists this small RNA (969 nucleotides) under Drosophila pseudoobscura pseudoobscura. RNAcentral describes it as "GA32418". The record is from RNAcentral. Lineage: Eukaryota; Metazoa; Arthropoda; Insecta; Diptera; Drosophilidae.